GCCCAGUUGGCGGAAUUGGUAGACGCGCUGGUCUCAAACACCAGUGAGAAAUCGUGCCGGUUCGACUCCGGCACUGGGUA
Molecule: transfer RNA, 80 nt
Filed under: Bacteroidetes bacterium RIFCSPLOWO2_12_FULL_35_15
Lineage: Bacteria; Pseudomonadati; Bacteroidota
Also listed under: 3 other names
Description: tRNA-Leu
Rfam family: tRNA
About the family: Transfer RNA (tRNA) molecules are approximately 80 nucleotides in length. Their secondary structure includes four short double-helical elements and three loops (D, anti-codon, and T loops).
Source: RNAcentral